AAGACGUUCGCGAAGCGCGAAGGCAACGAUCACUACGUGGUCAACGGCCAGAAGAUCUGGACCAGCCGCGCCGAAUAUUCCGACCUGAUGAUCCUGCUGGCGCGCACGACGCCAAAGGAACAGGCCGCCAAACGCACCGACGGUCUCUCCGUGUUCAUCGUCGACAUGCAGGAAGCGAAGAAGGCCGGCGGGCUGACGAUCCGGCCGAUCCGCACCAUGAUGAACCACGCCACCACGGAAGUGUUCUUCGACAACAUGAAGGUGCCUGCCGAAAAUCUCAUCGGCGAGGAAGGCAAGGGCUUCCGCUAC
RNAcentral lists this unclassified non-coding RNA (309 nucleotides) under Hevea brasiliensis (rubber tree). Lineage: Eukaryota; Viridiplantae; Streptophyta; Magnoliopsida; Malpighiales; Euphorbiaceae. The record is from RNAcentral.